GCCCCCUCAACUCAGUGGUAGAGUAACACUAUGGUAAGGCGUAAGUCGUCGGUUCAAAUCCGAUAGUGGGCU
RNAcentral lists this transfer RNA (72 nucleotides) under Codonopsis lanceolata. Its description in RNAcentral is "tRNA-Thr". It matches the Rfam family "tRNA". From Rfam's summary of the family: Transfer RNA (tRNA) molecules are approximately 80 nucleotides in length. Their secondary structure includes four short double-helical elements and three loops (D, anti-codon, and T loops). Further hydrogen bonds mediate the characteristic L-shaped molecular structure. tRNAs have two regions of fundamental functional importance: the anti-codon, which is responsible for specific mRNA codon recognition, and the 3' end, to which the tRNAs corresponding amino acid is attached (by aminoacyl-tRNA synthetases). tRNAs cope with the degeneracy of the genetic code in two manners: having more than one tRNA (with a specific anti-codon) for a particular amino acid; and 'wobble' base-pairing, i.e. permitting non-standard base-pairing at the 3rd anti-codon position. The record is from RNAcentral. Lineage: Eukaryota; Viridiplantae; Streptophyta; Magnoliopsida; Asterales; Campanulaceae.